Molecule: long non-coding RNA, 166 nt
Organism: Sinocyclocheilus grahami
Lineage: Eukaryota; Metazoa; Chordata; Actinopteri; Cypriniformes; Cyprinidae
Exons: 2
Source: RefSeq, a predicted model, not a curated record
UGUAACGGGGCUGACAAGACGUGAGACAUGCGGAUCCAUGUGCAGGCUUUAUUAAGCAGAGAGGUCAGAAACACAGGCAGGGUCGAACAAGGGCAAACAGGAAUAUGGCGGGUAAGACUCAAGAAUAAUCCUAGGGCUAGCGAAGGUCAACGAACGGCGAACAGAG